GACGAACGCUGGCGGCGUGCCUAAUACAUGCAAGUCGAGCGGGGUUGUCGGAGUGGAGUCCUUCGGGAGUGAAGCACCGCCAACCUAGCGGCGGACGGGUGAGUAACGCGUGGGUAACCUGCCCUAAAGCCCGGGAUAACACCGGGAAACUGGUGCUAACACCGGAUACCUUCCGAAGAGGGCAUCCUUUUUGGAAGAAAGGUUAACGCUUUAGGAUGGGCCCGCGUCCCAUUAGCUAGUUGGUGAGGUAACGGCUCACCAAGGCAGUGAUGGGUAGCCGGCCUGAGAGGGUGGACGGCCACACUGGGACUGAGACACGGCCCAGACUCCUACGGGAGGCAGCAGUAGGGAAUAUUGCGCAAUGGGCGAAAGCCUGACGCAGCGACGCCGCGUGGGUGAUGAAGGCCUUCGGGUUGUAAACUGCUGUCGUGUAGGGAGAAGGGUACUAAGGUGAACAAUCUUAGUACUUGACGGUACUACAGGAGGAAGCCCAGGCUAACCUCGUGCCAGCAGCCGCGGUAAAG
This 524-nucleotide ribosomal RNA is filed under the name uncultured bacterium. Its description in RNAcentral is "bacterial SSU rRNA". It matches the Rfam family "Bacterial small subunit ribosomal RNA", at positions 28 to 525 of the family's 1533-position model. The record is from RNAcentral.